Molecule: transfer RNA, 89 nt
Filed under: Erysipelotrichaceae bacterium
Lineage: Bacteria; Bacillati; Bacillota; Erysipelotrichia; Erysipelotrichales; Erysipelotrichaceae
Description: tRNA-Ser
Rfam family: tRNA
About the family: Transfer RNA (tRNA) molecules are approximately 80 nucleotides in length. Their secondary structure includes four short double-helical elements and three loops (D, anti-codon, and T loops). Further hydrogen bonds mediate the characteristic L-shaped molecular structure. tRNAs have two regions of fundamental functional importance: the anti-codon, which is responsible for specific mRNA codon recognition, and the 3' end, to which the tRNAs corresponding amino acid is attached (by aminoacyl-tRNA synthetases). tRNAs cope with the degeneracy of the genetic code in two manners: having more than one tRNA (with a specific anti-codon) for a particular amino acid; and 'wobble' base-pairing, i.e. permitting non-standard base-pairing at the 3rd anti-codon position.
Source: RNAcentral
GGAGAAGUACCCAAGCGGCUGAAGGGACUGGUUUCGAAAACCAGCAGACGUGCGAGCGUGCGGGGGUUCGAAUCCCCCCUUCUCCGCCA